This 505-nucleotide ribosomal RNA is filed under the name uncultured bacterium. RNAcentral describes it as "partial 16S ribosomal RNA". It matches the Rfam family "Bacterial small subunit ribosomal RNA", at positions 28 to 507 of the family's 1533-position model. The record is from RNAcentral.
GACGAACGCUGGCGGCGUGCCUAAUACAUGCAAGUAGAACGCACAGUUUAUACCGUAGCUUGCUCCACCAUAGACUGUGAGUUGCGAACGGGUGAGUAACGCGUAGGUAACCUGCCUGGUAGCGGGGGAUAACUAUUGGAAACGAUAGCUAAUACCGCAUAAUAUUGAUUAUUGCAUGAUAAUUGAUUGAAAGAUGCUAUUGCAUCACUACCAGAUGGACCUGCGUUGUAUUAGCUAGUAGGUGAGGUAACGGCUCACCUAGGCGACGAUACAUAGCCGACCUGAGAGGGUGAUCGACCACACUGGGACUGAGACACGGCCCAGACUCCUACGGGAGGCAGCAGUAGGGAAUCUUCGGCAAUGGACGAAAGUCUGACCGAGCAACGCCGCGUGAGUGAAGAAGGUUUUCGGAUCGUAAAGCUCUGUUGUAAGAGAAGAACGGGUGUGAGAGUGGAAAGUUCACACUGUGACGGUAUCUUACCAGAAAGGGACGGCUAACUACGUG